UACAGUGUAGCUCAGUGGUAGAGCACUUGCCUGGCAUGUAAGAGGUCCUGGGUUCCAUCCCCAGGACUGAAA
This is a non-coding RNA of Fukomys damarensis (Damara mole-rat), 72 nucleotides long. Lineage: Eukaryota; Metazoa; Chordata; Mammalia; Rodentia; Bathyergidae. The record is from Rfam.